UUCAAGCAGCUCAACAUAUUCCACAUUCAUGAAAAACAAUUUAUAAAAACGUUUUACAAGUUUCAGUUGCAAUGUGAGAGAGCUCAUGUGUCAGAUCAUCAUCUGCGGCACAGUUGCAGGCAUUGUCACAGCAGACCUGAACGCCGCAAAGGUGAGCAGGCGAGCUAGGUGUUUGACCUUCGAAAAACAAUGGUGGGACAGGAACGAGACGAAGCAGGUGCAUCGUGAAGAUACUUUCAUGAUAUGAGCCCAGUGUCCAUUUCAUCAUAAAAAUUCCUUUACAAAGCUAGAGCUGGGUGCAAAACAAAACAUGCCAGAUCCUCAAACCCAAACGUAUAGUAACAGCGAUGAAUGCGAGAGUCCAUCUAGCGGGGUCAGCUGGUGAUGAUCUGGUCUAGUUGCUCUGAUCUAAUCAGGCGGGGCAUGUCGAGAGCGGCGCACCGCAGAGUUUCUCGUUGCCGGGGCGGAAUGCAGACUCCGGCAAGGCACUCAAUCCCGAAGGAAGCUUUCCUGUGAGGUGAUUGCCACCCAAGUGAAGCUCCACGUUAGCGAGCUUCCCAUACUGCACGGGGAUGUUGCCAGAGUGGGCGUUGUUGGAGAAGUCCAGCACCUUGAGGUAGGGCAACAGGGUGGGCCACACGGGCAGGCCCGUAGUAAUCUUGUAGUUGGAGUGGACUCGCACCUCCUGUAGCGUGUUGUUGAGCGCUGACCCCAGACACGCCGGCCCCACGUUGGGCAGGUGGCUCUCCGAAACCUCCAGGACGCGUAGCUUUUUGAGCUUGCAGAGAUCCGAAGGUAGACCGAUGUUAUAUUUGGUGUUCUGGAGGAUGAGGACUUCCAGAGAGUUGGCGAACAGGCCGAUGUCGUUGCCCAGAGCACCUCCGGCGGCGUUCGCGUUACCUAGGAAUCCGUUGCGGACCACAAUCUCGCGCAGAGGGAGGUUGGCGAAUUUCCUGACAGGAAGAGGCGCGUUCCAUAUGAUCCAGUUGGUGUGCAGGACCUGGAGCUGAUACAAAUGGGACAGAGCUUCUCCUGCCUUGAAGCUUGCCUCCGGGUCACUCCAGAUGAGGAGGCUCGGCGCUCCAGGGCCCCCGCGGCUGGGUGCGCCGAAGUCCAAGUUAA
Molecule: long non-coding RNA, 1122 nt
Filed under: Physcomitrium patens
Lineage: Eukaryota; Viridiplantae; Streptophyta; Bryopsida; Funariales; Funariaceae
Description: long non-coding RNA (PPAT_LNC012128)
Source: RNAcentral